GCAGAUAAGGGAACCUGGACUUGUCUUGCCUGGACAUGCCCACAGCAGACCGGAGGCCAACAUGCAGUGGGGGGAUGGGGUGGAGUCACCAGGAAUUCACGCCUUAUGCAGAGGAGGAGCCUGGCCGCUUCAGCUCAUGUGAUCCUGGUAUUCAAUUGUGAGGUGGAAACCUCUUUGCAGGACCCCUCUCUUUGCUGAGAGCUGUCCUUUCACAUAAUAAAUUCUGCCCUCCUCAAUGUGUCUGCAUGCUUAAUUUUUCCUGGUCACGAGAGAAGAACCCAGAUGUAGCUGAACUAAGGAGCAAAAACCCGGCAUCAAUACCUGCUACAGCACAGAUGCAGCAUGAAAAAUUAUGCUAAGUGAAAUAAGCCAGUCCCAGCAGACCACUUGCUUUUUAUUUCAGAGGCUUAUAGGCAAAUCUAUACAAAGAAGGCAAUGACUAUGUAUGUACUACAAUGUAAACAGCACCUCCUGGAUUGAAUAGUACAUAACUGACAUGACCAGCAGAGACAGGCUAAAGACACUGAGCUGAAAACCCUGGACUCUAUUGUUAAAUCAAGGCUCCUGAAUCCGUUCCCUCUGAGCAACUGUUGCUGUGGUGCUGCCUUCACAAUCACUCUGCUGAGCACUCAGAUUGAGGUGCUGUGCUAUCCGUCAUCGGACAAGCUGCACCCAGAACUGUUCAGCUGACAAACUGGUAGCAGUCCAGAAAUACAGUUCUGCUGCAUAGUGAAAAAAGGCCAAUUUAGAUUCUUUUUCAUAGAGAGAAAAACAUAAAUAUGUGAUUUAACAAGUCUCCUGUAUUAAACUAAUUGGUUUAGAUUUGAUAUAUAAUUGCUAAAAACACACUUAGAAUAUAAACCUUACUGUGUCAAGGUCUCAAAGAAGAAAUAAUUGGUAUGGUAUAAAGUAUUGAAUUGUAUGCUACAAACUUCUAAGCUAAAAUACUUUCAAUGUAUGCAAGGAUAGGUGGCAUACAUAUUAUAUAUUAUUCCCCCAUUAAGCAAAUUUAUAAUGAGAGAAAAUUAUCUUCCAUAAAAAAAGCCAUGUAAAAUUAAGAACUAAGUUUUUCUGCACAGACUAGACAAUGAUUGCUAACACAUAAGGUCAAUGAGAGAACAGUCAGAGAAAGCUUCAUGAAAACAAUAAAUUGUCUGCCACGUCUGAGUGAAUGAGGCUAGAUGAACAGAAACUGAGAACGUAGAAAGAAUAGCAUGAGCAAGAUAAGUGCUGAAAUCUGCCCAAUUAACUCUGAGGAUAAAGUCCAAUGGCAGAGAAAUAAAAACCCGUGUCCACAUAAUAACCUGUAAGUGAAUGUUCACAGCAGCAUUUUUCAUAAGAGCUAAAAAGUGGAAACUAACCUAAAGGUCCAUCAACUGAUGAAUGAAUGGAAAACCAGUAUAGCCAUGGAAUAGAAUAUCAUUUAACUAUAAGAAGAAAUAAACUACCAAUGUGUGCUAAAACAUUAUGCUAAAUGAAUUCUGAAAACAUUAUGCUAAGUGAAAAAGCCAGUCACAAAGGACUACGUAUUGUAUAACUCUAUGUAUAUGAAAUAAGCAGAACAGGCAAACAUAUGGAGACAAAAGUAGAUAGAUGGUGGUUGCCUACAACAGAGGUAGGUGGAGGGACAUGGAGGAAGGCUGCAGUCAUGCCUAGGAGAUGUGGGGUUGCUUUUCAGGGUGAUGAAAAUGCUGUGAAUAUACUAAUAGAUACUGAGUUGUACAUUUUAAAUGGUUGAACUCUCUGAAAUGUGAAUGUUAUCUCAGUGAAAUUGUUUUUAAAAUCCAAAGGCAGGAUCAAGAUAAUUUUCUCAACUCUCAAUUUUUGAUGUACAUGUUAUCUCAAAUUUAAAUAUUUCCACAGUUUUAUAGUAUAUUUUAAAUAAAA
This is a long non-coding RNA of Homo sapiens (human), 1887 nucleotides long. RefSeq lists it as uncharacterized. NCBI's taxonomy places the organism in Eukaryota, Metazoa, Chordata, Mammalia, Primates, Hominidae. The record is from RefSeq and is a predicted model, not a curated record. The transcript is spliced from 2 exons.